This 1766-nucleotide long non-coding RNA is filed under the name Phoenix dactylifera (date palm). RNAcentral's name for it is "long non-coding RNA (PDAC_LNC004775)". Lineage: Eukaryota; Viridiplantae; Streptophyta; Magnoliopsida; Arecales; Arecaceae. The record is from RNAcentral.
UAAUUUGGCAUAUAUAUCUUAUUAGACAUUGUUGUUGACAUAAACUAUCAAAAAAAUUUGCUGCCCAUGGUAGUUCUCAAUCUCAUUCAAGGAAAUGAGAUGCAGGAGCAGGUCUGAUAUUAAAUGAGCUGGAGCUGUCAUGUUCUGCUUGUCGUGAACUAUUAAAAACUUCAUCAACUUCAUGCUGACCUGCUUAAAUAUGCCUGCAAGGAGAGAUAUUUCUCUUAUGGUUCCAGUUUUGGGGCCUUGUUCAUGUGAUGGCAUGAGACGACAACAAACAUAGCCCCAUAAAUCAGGGCAUCUGUUGGCAAAUGUUCAAAAUAACCAGCCAGUGAUAAUUCAUGAGAAGAAAGGCACAAAUGAGAAAAAUGAAAUAAUUGUUUCUCAAUGUUUUUUUUUUUGCGUGGUUCGAUCAUGGAGGCAAUUGUAGUAACAAUAGAAAUCAACAAGCGAUGAUAUUUUUAUGAGUUCUAAAUUAUUCUUCCCUGUAGUAACUUGUUGUCUUGAAUAAAUUUCUACCAGAAAAAAAUGAGAGAAUUAUUGGGGUACCGAAAAUUCAACCAAGGUUUUGAAUAUCAGUCCCUAUGACCUUUACCAAUUAUAACAGCAAUUAUUUUAUAUGUAGAAAAUUCAGUCCAGAGUUUGAGUUUUAUAGAUAAAAAUUAUUAUAUUUACACAAUAAAAAAGGGGCCCUUCAUAAGAAAUAUUGGCAGUAGUUAUCUAAACAUUGCAUUCCUUGGACAUAGAAAGGAUCAACAAAAUAUUUUGACUAAUGUUGCUGUCCCUGUUACCAACCAUGCAACUAGAGUUUGUUUAACCCAAAUCUAGAGAACCUAAUAUUCUCCAUCCAGACAGCCAAUUUUUACUGAAAUUAGGUUGGUUUUUACAUUUAAAAAAUUCCAACACAUGCGGGUCGGGUUUUGCUCGAGGAAUCGAACACUCCGACCCGGGCAUACGGUUCUGCUUCGACCUCAUAUGAUUUCAUCCAACCAUGGCUGCCAAACCUAAUCCCAGAACCAGGCAUAAUGGAGGCUUUGAACAAAACCACAUCAUGUUGCAGUUAGAUCUAAUACAACUAAACCAAGCUCAAUCCCUUAGUUGUGUUUGGACUCCAAGUUGAGAGUUGGGCUGUGCUUAGGUUUGGGUAGUGGGGUUCAUUGGAUACCCUUGAGCACCUGUGACGUUAUACCCUAAAAAAAUUCUGGUCAGAUCCAAUCCCACUAACUCAUAUCUUUAACUACUAAAAGCCAAGGCUGUCAUCAUUGGGCAGGCAAAAUUUUUUGAUCCUUUGAAAGAUUUUGUGGGCGAGAUAAGACGAUUUUUAGCUUAUUUUAACCCAAAAAGAAGUCUUAACCUUGAAUCAUGGAAAGGAAAGCGAACAAAGAACCAGUGCUCAGCAUCAACGGCGCAUCCACUUUUCAUUUCACCCGUACAAACGAUGGCAAGAAACUGAGUGUAACGAGUGCGUGGUGCUUUAGUGUUCUUACUUUUAAUUUGAGGAAAUAUUUCAAUACCAAAUUGUGGAAAGAAGCUUGAGUAAAUAGCUAAAAACUCUAUUUUUUUGAAAAAAAUUUAUUCCCAAUAAAUUUCAGACCUUGAGAUUAGCAUAAGCCGAGUUGGAUGAGGUGGCUGAGGUGUCGAAGAUUGAUCUCUCCAGAGAUGGUCUGCAAGAAGUCCGCUUGGUGAAGAGUUUCCGGCGGAAGACCCCCUAAUGCUUAGUUAAGAUAAAGAAGUAACAGCAGAAGAAAGGAAUUUCAGCAGAGUCG